Molecule: ribosomal RNA, 501 nt
Filed under: Spiroplasma endosymbiont of Heliconius erato
Lineage: Bacteria; Bacillati; Mycoplasmatota; Mollicutes; Entomoplasmatales; Spiroplasmataceae
Description: bacterial SSU rRNA
Rfam family: Bacterial small subunit ribosomal RNA
Source: RNAcentral
UUUUAGAGUUUGAUCAUGGCUCAGGAUGAACGCUGGCGGCAUGCCUAAUACAUGCAAGUCGAACGGGGUGCUUGCACCCAGUGGCGAACGGGUGAGUAACACGUAUCUAAUCUACCUUUUAGUGGGGGAUAACAGUUGGAAACGACUGCUAAUACCGCAUACGAUAUCAUUAUCGCAUGAGAAGAUGUUGAAAGGCCCGUUUGGGUCGCUAGAAGAUGAGGAUGCGGCGUAUUAGCUAGUAGGUGGGGUAAAGGCCCACCUAGGCGAUGAUACGUAGCCGAACUGAGAGGUUGAUCGGCCACAUUGGGACUGAGAUACGGCCCAGACUCCUACGGGAGGCAGCAGUAGGGAAUUUUUCACAAUGGGCGAAAGCCUGAUGAAGCAAUGCCGCGUGAGUGAUGACGGUCUUCGGAUUGUAAAGCUCUGUUGUAAGGGAAGAACAGCUAGAAGAGGAAAUGCUUUUAGUUUGACGGUACCUUACCAGAAAGCCACGGCUAAAUA